CACUGGCCCACGCACCACCUGGCACCGCUGGCCCACGCACCACCUGGCACCGCUGGCCCACGCACCACCUGGCACCGCUGGCCCACGCAUCCACUCAACUAUACCGGCAGUCUAACGCAAUUGAAUUUUCUAUAAGAGAACCGGAGCCGACUGCAUUACUUUCAAAUUACCAAAUCAUUUUGGGCUUUUGUUAAUUUGGAUCUGUGAUGUUACUUUGGUCCUCUCACUUUAUGCUCUGUUCAUGUUAUUUUUGAACAAGUUACGUCAUUCUUUGUUCACUAUUUUGUUCUGGCCAUAAUAUUCGAGUCUUCACUUUUACAAUUUUCAUUCGCCGAGGCAAGGCUUGAGCUCCUGGUCUCCGAAUUGAAUCCCACAAUUAUGAUACUAUAUAUAUAUUUAUAAAUGUACUUUUUUAUUUUAAUACCUGUGCAAAUAUUGACAGACCUGGUCAUGCUGGGUCAAUAGAGGGUCAUUAUUAUUGGCUCAGCAUUAUGGUUACCAUGGUAACCGCCCAUUCGAGUUUGAAUGAAUUCUCUCAUUCGAAUUGAGUAACUGUUGUGUGUGUAUUUACAUGUGCUUUGAAUAUAUAUUUAUUUACGUAUGUGGCGACAAGGGAAAGUUGACUGUCAAAGAGACAGCAAGAGGGGGGGGGGGGAGGUGUUCAGUUCGCGAACUUAGACGACAGCAUUUCUAGUGUUUAUAUAUUUAAUGGUGAGGAUGGGGGGUUGUGUGGGAAGUUUAGUGACUGUUGGAACGUAGUGACCUAUGUGGUGACCUACACAGUGACCACACCCAUUGUGGCCACACCCGUGGUGACCUACACGGAGACCACACCCGUGGUGACCUACACAGAGACCACACCCGUGGUGACCUACACAGAGACCACAUCCAUCAUUAAGGUCUAUACAAUGUGCGAGUGUUCACCCCUCGUCGCCAAGGACGCAGGGAAGUUGAUGUUGAUGAUGAUUUAAGGUCGACGACGAUCGUGGGGUGAGAUGCGCCCCGGCGUACCCAUGAGGGGUUAAUCGCGAAGCCAAGUGGCAGAUGACUGGUGAGCCCCGGGAGUCUCUCAGGGGGACAAGCGCCGGCCCCGGCCCACAAAGAGAACACAGGCUAGCAAAACUAAAUACUCAGCCCUCCAACUAAGAGAUGCAAUCGGACGCAAAAGUCAUCCGGUGCCCUCCGGCAAAGCAGAAGCCAGCCGCCCACCACCCUAAUGGCACACCAGGAGCCCACCAAGACCCGCCAACAAUCCUGUGAUCCAAGCCGACAUGUGCGUCUGGCGUUGUACAAACCGGACCGUUGAAUAGGGACUGCAAACGGCAGUAUCAAACCCAAAAUCGCAAAACAGAACGCAAUCCGGCGGCCACCCGGCGGAGGAGCUGUCCAGACGUCCGCUCGUCGUCAAGGCUGAACCAGGAGUCGGACGGAGGGAAGGGGGUCACUAUACGGGUUUGUUGUGGUUCCCCCCCCCCCCCCCCGAGUGUGUUUACCUGAGCAGCUUCUCGCGGCCGCCGCCAGAGUGCUCCCUUAGUCGCCCACUCACCACGUGGUUUUAUUUACAUGUCAUUCAGGAUGUUUAUGUGUGAAGCACAAGAGUAAACAACAACACUUAUCAAUGUUACAUUCCACGGCCACUCACAAGCUCUACGUCUAAGGAAAGGCAAAAAAAUAAAUAACACUUCAAUAAACAAAUAGAUAUUUACGUUAGGUGUAUACUUUUGUAUGUCAAAUAUGUUAUUAAGUUUAAAAUUUGGGUGUUUGAAGAUGUAUUAAUUUGAAACACGAAGUGGUUUAAGCAGUGAACUCAAUCAAGCGACUUCACUGUUAAUUAGCUUGAUCGACGAUUGAUCGACUUCACUAGGGUGAAGGUGGGUAGGGGUAACGACCGUUAUUGUAGUGAGGGUGCAGAGGCUUACCAGCAGACUAGUCCCAGAACCGACAGUUUUGGGCUACAAGGAAAGACUCAAGGAAUUAAACCUGUAAUUGGACAGAUAUGGACAGAUUUUUAUGAUAAGCCACAGACACAUUACAAAGAUUUUUUCGGUGUUAUAAUAUUAAAGAAAUGGAAUGCACUAAGAAGAGUUACAGGCAGAGACAAUACUCAGUUUCAAAUGUAAAUAUGACAGAACUAAAUAGGCUCUAGAUUAAAGGUUGAGAGGCGGGACCAAAGAGCUAAAGCUCAACCCCCGCAAGUAUAAUUAUGUGGGAAAAAAAUACACAAUACAUGGGAAUGUUUGCACCAGGUGUCUCAACACUUCUCUAAGACCCAAAAACAGUCUAAGAGUUAAUUCUUCUUCUUUAAAUACAAAACUAUUUUUGUAAAUUAUGUAUAAUUUCUUUAUAUGGUUGACAAUUUAUAUGUAUAAUUUCUUUAAAAAGUUGAGAGUUGCAAAUUACCGACUUUAGGAAAUCUUUAUGUAUAAUUAUUUUGAUAAUACAAUAGGAGAAUACACUAAAAAGAUGCUCUAAGCAACAGUCUCCAUAUUGUAUUAGGCUUACCUCGCGCUCUGCACUUCCACAGGGACACCGGAUAUUCAACCAAUAAUUUCAUCAAUAACACAUAAGUUUCUUUGGUUUUUUAUGUUGUGUAAUUGUUCCUCCUAAGUCCUCAGGUGAGCCCCUAGACAACACUUACGGUGCCAUACUGAACUGUGGCAAUUUAUUUCAACUGAAUAUCAGCUCCAGCAACCCCGUGUAGAACUGGAUGUUUAUAUAUGUCGAUUUUUGUAAAUUCCUAUAAUGUGAUUCAGACUGGAAUUGCCAUGAUAUAUGUAUAUUUUGUUUAAUAAAAUAGUAUCCAAU
This is a non-coding RNA of Procambarus clarkii (red swamp crayfish), 2805 nucleotides long. The record is from RefSeq and is a predicted model, not a curated record. NCBI's taxonomy places the organism in Eukaryota, Metazoa, Arthropoda, Malacostraca, Decapoda, Cambaridae.